This 381-nucleotide ribosomal RNA is filed under the name Triticum aestivum (bread wheat). RNAcentral describes it as "partial small subunit ribosomal RNA". Lineage: Eukaryota; Viridiplantae; Streptophyta; Magnoliopsida; Poales; Poaceae. The record is from RNAcentral.
AUGGCUUCCGUUGCCGCGUCGCUCGUCGGUCUGCGCGCGCGGCGUCUCUUCGGGGUCGGGGUCGGGUCAGGUCGGGUCGGGUGCCCACAUCAUGCGGUACUUUGCAAACUCAAGUGCGACGGACGGACAAGAGCAACGCGGAGAUUCUCCUGGUCAGCUCAACAAACGGUCAUUGUAUGGAUCGUUUAUUUAUCAGAAAUACUAACCCCCACGCAUCUCGCCCACGCGCAUGCAUGGAUCAACGUCGGUUUGAGUUUGCACAAAUCUUGUCAUGUUUUGCUAGAUUUUUUAUGCCACGUAGGAUUGGGUUGGUGUGUGGGCAUUCAUCCGGUCACCCACGCGUCCGUUUUCACAUGCGGGAUGUUGGUGUGUGGCGUUUAG